RNAcentral lists this ribosomal RNA (305 nucleotides) under uncultured bacterium. RNAcentral describes it as "bacterial SSU rRNA". It matches the Rfam family "Bacterial small subunit ribosomal RNA", at positions 336 to 638 of the family's 1533-position model. The record is from RNAcentral.
UUCCUACGGGGGGCAGCAGUGAGGAAUAUUGGUCAAUGGGCGCGAGCCUGAACCAGCCAAGUCGCGUGAGGGAUGACGGCCCUACGGGUUGUAAACCUCUUUUGUCGGGGAGCAAAUUCCGUUACGUGUAACGGAGUCGAGAGUACCCGAAGAAAAAGCAUCGGCUAACUCCGUGCCAGCAGCCGCGGUAAUACGGAGGAUGCGAGCGUUAUCCGGAUUUAUUGGGUUUAAAGGGUGCGCAGGCGGAAGAUCAAGUCAGCGGUAAAAUUGAGAGGCUCAACCUCUUCGAGCCGUUGAAACUGGUU